UAAAAUCGUUGUAAAGCAGAUUUGUUUAUAUAUUUAAUUAAUAUAGGUAGUUAAUAGUAAUGUUAGUACGCAAGGAUCAAUUAUUUGUUAAUUUAUAUGCUUUAAGGUUUAAUAUUGAACUUAAGUCCAUUGUUAUUAUUCAUAUUAAUUUUUUUAAAAGUUUUUAAGUUUUAUGCUAGUUUAUUUUAAGACCAAUAAUAUUCGUCACAUUUUAGGAAUAGAUAAUAAUA
RNAcentral lists this ribosomal RNA (230 nucleotides) under Trypanosoma cruzi. Its description in RNAcentral is "partial 9S ribosomal RNA". The stretch from base 1 to 103 matches the Rfam family "Trypanosomatid mitochondrial large subunit ribosomal RNA", at positions 459 to 561 of the family's 561-position model. Lineage: Eukaryota; Euglenozoa; Kinetoplastea; Trypanosomatida; Trypanosomatidae. The record is from RNAcentral.